GAUGAACGCUGGCGGCGUGCCUAAUACAUGCAAGUCGAGCGAACAGACGAGGAGCUUGCUCCUCUGACGUUAGCGGCGGACGGGUGAGUAACACGUGGAUAACCUACCUAUAAGACUGGGAUAACUUCGGGAAACCGGAGCUAAUACCGGAUAAUAUAUUGAACCGCAUGGUUCAAUAGUGAAAGACGGUGUUGCUGUCACUUAUAGAUGGAUCCGCGCCGCAUUAGCUAGUUGGGAAGGUAACGGCUUACCAAGGCAACGAUGCGUAGCCGACCUGAGAGGGUGAUCGGCCACACUGGAACUGAAACACGGUCCAGACUCCUACGGGAGGCAGCAGUAGGGAAUCUUCCGCAAUGGGCGAAAGCCUGACGGAGCAACGCCGCGUGAGUGAUGAAGGUCUUCGGAUCGUAAAACUCUGUUAUUAGGGAAGAACAAAUGUGUAAGUAACUAUGCACGUCUUGACGGUACCUAAUCAGAAAGCCACGGCUAACUACGUG
Molecule: ribosomal RNA, 497 nt
Filed under: uncultured bacterium
Lineage: Bacteria
Description: partial 16S ribosomal RNA
Rfam family: Bacterial small subunit ribosomal RNA
Source: RNAcentral